Molecule: long non-coding RNA, 2873 nt
Filed under: Triticum aestivum (bread wheat)
Lineage: Eukaryota; Viridiplantae; Streptophyta; Magnoliopsida; Poales; Poaceae
Description: long non-coding RNA (TAES_LNC007998)
Source: RNAcentral
UGCUGGAGAGGAGGAGGAACCAGAUCUGCUGGAGAGGAGCCACUGAAGAGAAGGAGGGGGAGGAGUGUGUGGAUUGGGGGCUGUUUCUCUCUCUCUCUUUCUCCCCUCUUACCUGUUGGCGCCAACAUGAUUCCAGUUUCCCGCCAAAACUCUGUUUCCCGCCUAAAACAGUUCCCCUGCCUGCCUGGCAAGCUAAGGCGUCCAAAAUGGACUAAGGCAACGCCUCGGACGCCUAGGCAGACGCCUCGGACGCCUUAUAGCUUAAGGCGGACGCCUUAGACACCCACCUAAGGCGAGGUGGACGUCUUGCCCUCGCAGGGCGCCCUGACGCCUAAGCGUCGCCUAGGCGACGCCUUAGGGACGCCUUGAAAACAGAGGGAGCACCUCUAUUUUAUAUGGAAUGCUGAACUUUAUAUGGAAUGCUUAAUUAAGUUCUGAUAUCAAUUUCCAUUUAUGUAAUGAGUUGGAAAUAAAGAAAUGAUUAAGAAAUAUUCAUCUAGCAGAUUCUUAUGAAUGUGCAAAGUUAGGAGUACAUUGAAUUUCUAGAUGUUUCCAGCCUACCACAUUUAUUUAUUUGCAUAUAUUUUCCAAUGUAGGUUGGUAGCCUGUUGCUCAUUCCAUGCAUCUGCUCUACUGCUGGCCUCUGCCUCCUCGUUCUUUAGGAGACGGUACAAGUCAUGGAGAAUUUGUGCAACCUCCGUUCCUUUCCGACGUGUUGUGAGUUGUUGAAGGAGCGAGAGGACGCAAGACUGGGAUCAAAGCCGAGGUAAGACCCCUCCUCAUUUCCAUGCAUAUUUUUUCUUUGGGAGAUGCUGCCUUUUCUUGACUUGGCCUGCUGUCAUGUGUGCGUCCAUGUCCAGGUUGGACCGGUGAUGGCGGCUGCAGCGGGACGGAUGACACAGACAAAAAAGACAGUUCCUCAUAUUUGUCUCCGAUGAAAAAAGAUCAUCUGGUGACAAACACCUCCUUCUUUUUUCUAUAUGCAUCCUCCCAUGACAAAACUUGUUUCUGGACAGGGUAUCUUGCUGGGGAAAUAGACCCUGUAGUCUAUAUUUGUGCCUGUUAAGACUUUUUAUUGUUAUUGAAAGUGAAGCUAGCUCUGUAUAAAAGGGCUUUCGGUUGAUUAAAGUUUCACUGAAAAGAAUGUUUAUUUCAGUCCAUAUCUUAUUCCAAAUUCCCAUGAUCUAAUUGGUGUUCUAUGCAGAACAACACUUUUGGGUUUUAGGUAAUCUUUGAAUGGUCUCUAAAUGGUAAUCUUGCCUGACCACUGACUUUUUGAGUUUUGCCUUACAAGAGCAUUUCCAUGCAAAUAUAUAACAUGACGAUCUUGGAUUUCUUAUGGGUAUGAUAAUUUAUUUUUUCUAUAUGAUCAUAUGAGGUCAUGUGUAUUUUAUUCGAGCAAGUAAGGCAUAUAUCUGUUUCUUUGGAGAAUUAAAUAGGAGAAUUACUUGAACUCAAGCAGCUUUGUGGCAUUUGUUUAUGUUUAAAUUGUUUACAUUCAGAUUGGUUUCCUAAUUUCUAUUACACGGUUGGUCUCUGCAUUCCAGUUUGGUUUGUCUGUUGUAUAUAUAAUUGUGAGCUUUGUUUACUUUUACUUAUUAGGUUUCUUAGGGUCAUUCCUCCAUUACUGCUGCCACUGCUCCUUUGGUUCUUGGUCAUUGCUCUGACGAAUGUCUCCGUCCCAGGUAAUUUUCUUCUGCCUUUUGUUAUUAUUAUGUGAGUUGUCAUUGUUUUUACAUUGUAUGUUAUAUUUCCUGUUCCUUUGGCUUGGAUAAUCCGUCUUUUAUUCAUCAUCCAUUACUGUUGUUGCUGCUCCUUUAGUUCUUGGUCACAUAUAAGCUGUAAUUGUUUUUACACACUAAUGAGGGCCUUUGGAUAAUCUGUCUUUGAUUCAUUUUUCUUAUCAGAGCUCAGUUAUUGAUAUUUCAAGCCAAGUUUUUUCCACUAUUAUAAUAAAUUGAGGAGUGUUGAGAAGAAUCUAUUUGGGUUGCUCUCAUUGAAUUUCUCAUUAAGACAUGCACUCAGUUCUGGUUUAUCAAGUUAUGUAUAAUAUGUAUAUGUUGAUAUGCAUGGCAUCACUCAAAUGUGUGUAUUCCUGCUGUUGAAUUUUAGAAUCAGCACUCUGUUUUCUUUUCAAGCAUCUCUCGAAACCAUCUUUGAGAAAAAUUCUUUACUAAGUAAUGAUUUCUUCUUUUCUGUAGUAUUCCUCAAGUUUAUGAAUGAACUGAUAGAUGUCAUCUACUGCCUAUUAAGUAGGCUAUGCAAAAUAUGUUAUCAUGUAACUUGUACCCAUGCAUCAGUGAUAAAGCUGAUAAUUUUCAUUUUAUCUCAGGGUUGCUCCGUCCAUUUAUCUCUUUUUAUGUUCAGUAGUGAAGAGGGUUAUAUUCCUAACUAUGCAGAGAUUAUUAAGGGUGUUAAGUUGCUUCUCAUAAGUGAUUGGGACUAUGAGAUCAUUAAGGGGCAUUGAGCCGCUGCCCAGAGGUAUACUUUCUUUUAUUUCUUAUAUAUUUCAACCACUUAGUUUUGUUGUCUCUAAACCAUUUUUGAUGACUCAAGUUGAUCAUACUAUUGUGAGAAUCUUGGCCAGGAUCAUUCUUUAUAUCAUGUUGGAUCAUCUUAGAAUUCGUAGAGCCAGUUACCAUCGAAGGAUGUACUCAUAGAACACAAUCAGUGUAAUUGUGCUUUUCUACACUUCUGCCUAGAGCAAUGGGAUAUGUAUGAUGUAUUGUAUGGCUACCCUCUAAUGCACUACUCAGCCUCCUGUACAAAUGACUUGAUCUAAUUAUUAUGAAAGACAUGUGGAGUGUGUUGCUUUAUAUAUACAUAAUUUGCUAUAAUUCUGAUUUAUCAUAGUGCAUAGCUUUUGAUCUAUU